CUGUUAUAGAAGAAGUCCUGUAUUUAUACACAGAACAGAUAUAACACAGACAGUGGCAGUACAAACUUUCCCACGUCUCCAUCAACAUGCCACAACCCUGACUUAGCUAGAACACUACUAGGAGUGAGACAUUAGCUUAGCCUCCAUGCUAUUCAAUCCAUAAGCUCAC
RNAcentral lists this small RNA (169 nucleotides) under Chrysemys picta bellii (western painted turtle). RNAcentral's name for it is "TUC338 (ENSCPBG00000020131.1)". Lineage: Eukaryota; Metazoa; Chordata; Testudines; Emydidae. The record is from RNAcentral.